GAUGAACGCUGGCGGCGUGCCUAAUACAUGCAAGUCGAGCGAACAGAUGAGGAGCUUGCUCCUCUGACGUUAGCGGCGGACGGGUGAGUAACACGUGGAUAACCUACCUAUAAGACUGGGAUAACUUCGGGAAACCGGAGCUAAUACCGGAUAAUAUAUUGAACCGCGUGGUUCAAUAGUGAAAGACGGUCUUGCUGUCACUUAUAGAUGGAUCCGCGCUGCAUUAGCUAGUUGGUAAGGUAACGGCUUACCAAGGCAACGAUGCGUAGCCGACCUGAGAGGGUGAUCGGCCACACUGGAACUGAGACACGGUCCAGACUCCUACGGGAGGCAGCAAUAGGGAAUCUUCCGCAAUGGGCGAAAGCCCGACGGAGCAACGCCGCGUGAGUGAUGAAGGUCUUCGGAUCGUAAAACUCUGUUAUUAGGGAAGAACAAAUGUGUAAGUAACUAUGCACGUCUUGACGGUACCUAAUCAGAAAGCCACGGCUAACUACGUG
This 497-nucleotide ribosomal RNA is filed under the name uncultured bacterium. RNAcentral describes it as "partial 16S ribosomal RNA". It matches the Rfam family "Bacterial small subunit ribosomal RNA", at positions 28 to 507 of the family's 1533-position model. The record is from RNAcentral.